AGCCGUUAUACGAGGCCAGGUGAUGCUAACAUCCUCUAAUUAAAAACAUUUAGCGUCGAGGAAACCUCAUGUUAACGUUGUCAUACUACUGCUAAACUGUACGGCUGAAACUGUGACGCCCUGGCCUCACAUCAGCUAACAACAGGAAGUUAACAAAGUCGCUAAAAUGAAAUAACACCGACAGUUAACUUAGCUAGCAGCGGUGCUAAUGCUAACAGCUCCGCUGACGUUAAUUAGCAGCGAAACCUUGACGAGCAACAGGUGAAGUCGACAUGAAGGACGAUAAAUGGACUUCAGAUAACACAGAGGAGGUGUGCAGCAAGCAAUUUAUGGCAUUUCUGCAACAUUUUAGGAAACUGCUCCUAGUCUGGCUGCUGUAACUGCCCAACAGAACAGGCUAUUAACAGUGUGUCACCUGGCUGGGUUUCUGUACUGUAUGUUUGUGAUGUAUGCGCUAUUAGACUAAAAUAUUCAUAAUAAUUGCACGAGCUGAACAUAACAAUAUGAGCGCAUAAUAACUAGCAUUUGGAUGAGAAUAAACAUUAUACUCAGAGUAAAUUCCUCCAUGUGCUUUUCUGCUUUGCACUUCC
Molecule: long non-coding RNA, 590 nt
Organism: Amphiprion ocellaris (clown anemonefish)
Lineage: Eukaryota; Metazoa; Chordata; Actinopteri; Pomacentridae
Source: Ensembl